GGAGUGUAUCACUGCUCCACUCAAAAGAAAUAGCCAGGAAUAAUAAGGUGUAAAUCUUGCACCUGAGAUGAACAUUGAACAAGAAAAACAAAUUACCAUACAAUGAAAAAUAUUGGGCUGUGCCAAACUCCCAAUUCAAAUGACCUUUAUUGCCAAAGAACGAUAAUAUUAUUAUUAACCAUCUUGAGAUGUUUUACUAGAUAUUCUCAAAACAUCAUGACAACUGUCUUUACAACUAUAGAUGCUACUGCUAGAAAGGAACUUCAGGAAGUCAGUAAAAACUAAAAAUACAUAACUAAUAAACUAACAUGUCUGCUACGAAAUUCCAUGACAAAUAUUUACUUCAAUGAGAAGGAGUCAUUGCAAAAUCAAGACAAGAUCUCUAGCCUGCAGGAACAUUUAAAAAAAAGGCCUUGAUAAUCUAAUGCCAACAGUUACCAGGAAGCAAACAUUGGAUACCAGAAAAGUUGUAUAUAGUAAGUAAAAGAGAACAAUACCUGUUCAUUAUAGAGCUAACAAACGGUAAUGUUAAAUUGGUACUGAGAAGUGGCAGUUGAAUCUGAAUUGGCUAAAUCAAACAGCUCCUCAAAUCAACAAGAGAGAGUUUGCUAUAUGAGUUUUCACCGGUGAUCAAAUUGUUAUGAAAUAUGUGUAUUGUGACAUUCCUGAAAAUGAGGGCAUAUUAGAGAAAGGCACUUGUCUAAAUUAGUGAACAGUACCAAGGAAAAAAACCACUAACACAGGACAGAUGAACAUAAAAUCGCACAAUAAUCUUUCACUUACUUUUUACCCCAGAAUAUUAACAUGGUAAUAAAUUUCAAGAAACCUAAGGUAAACUAAUGGAUCUUGUUGCUUAAUUAGGCCAUUAUUUUAUUAUGAUUCAUGCAUUACAUACUUCCUUCUUCUAUUGUUACUUAACCGAGUCAACCAAGUGCAAAACUAUUUUUGUAAAAUAAGAAAAUUUGUACAUAUUAUAAUACAACCUCCUAAGUGCACUGAUAUCACCAACUACUUUGUGACAGGAAGUCAUCCCUGUAAAGAAUAUAUGUAAGCAUAAAAAUAUAACAGAAAGAAAGGUGAGCCUGGCGGGAGGAAGUGAAAAAUAAGAUCGUCCCACUGGUUCAACUGAAAAUUAAUUAUAAACUAAAUUCAGGGUAGUUCUUUGAAGAUGUAGAUGUCAUGCAGCAUUCAGAACAUCGGAUAUUUAACAAUAUGGACACUUUGAGGUUUAUAGCUUAUUCAUUAAAAUCACCAAUUCAACCUUGAAAAGCUAGUUCCGUUAACUAUGCAAUUAUCAUUGGAUCUAAUUAGAAUCAUAGUGCAUGUUUGUCUUGGCAUUGAAAAAGUAGCCCAGUUAAUGAAUUGAAGCAUGCAAACCAAGUCUCAAUUCAUUUCAAAUAUGCUCAAUAAAAUUGAGCUGAGCUAUGUCCCAACUCCCAAAGCCCAAACAUGAUUUUAGCCUCAACUUGUGUUAGUAACGUAAUAUAGUUUGUGUUUAAAGUAAUGAGCUAAUGAUACAUCCUCUAAGUCAUACUAAUCCAAAUUGCAACUGGUAUAAUAACAAGUUUGAAAAAAGCACCGAGGAAACUAUCCCUUUUCUCAAAAAGCACUAAAACCAGAUAUUAGAAGUUUUAUUAUAUAUGCAAAUAAAAGUAUAGAAAUAAUUAUAUUUUUGUAAAAUUUUAAGAAAAAUACUUCCUAAACAAUUUAAAUGAGCAUCGCCAUGCAUAAUAAACAUGCCUAGAUGGAGGCAACAGGAAUAUAUUUUUGUAAAAUUUGUUCACAAAAGACUUCCCAAAUAAUCAAAAUCUGCAUUUCAAUUAGCUACAUCUUCCGUAUACUAUGACAAAUGCUACUGGCAUGCUUGUUAUGAGCUGUAAGUGAGUGAAAGACCAGUUGAUACAGUGAAAGUGUGAAUCGAAGCAAAUUUCUAGUUUGUAACAAAAUCAAGUACUAUCCAACCUAAAAGUCAAAUCACUGACAAUUGUUGAACUAAUCACAAACUAGGAAGACCUAAAUAUAACUGGACAAUUCAAAGAAGGAAUGAACAACUGAUCUAUUAUAAAAAAUUAUCAAUUAAGUUACCUAGCUUGUUCUGGGCAAUGAACUGGCAUCUCUCUCCCCACUUUACCCAAACCUAGAAGCAUUCAAUUUAUUUUACAUGAACAAAGUGUUGGAUUAACAACUAAAUAAACAAUGAUAUUGAUGGAAUCAUCAAAGAAACCACACCUUUAAGAAAAUAGAUAAUGAGAUAUAUGGAAAGAUACAUAUAUGAAUGGUUCAUGCAACAGAUGAAUUUGAGCAACAUAAGACAUAGCAUACUAAGAUAUCUAGGACCUAAGAGGUAAAUUAUAAAUUUAACCAUGACAACCAAUCCUUUAAUUUCAUUGUUAUAAAUUAUCUUUGCAAUUAAAAAGGCAAAUUCAGCCUGUGCAUCUGCUUUCCACCAACUUUAAAAAGGGAGAUAUCCAUACAAGUUCUCAGUGAGCAUGAAACAAUAAUGACAUGUAUCCUAGGAAUUACAUCAAAUAAAUAAGUAAGUUUUGACUUUAACGGAAUUACUUUGUUACCUUGAUUUCUGACUGAAUAAAUUAAAUUUUUGGCAAAAAAAAAAGAGAAAUAAUGCAUUAUAAAAGAAACCUUAAUUUAAAACAGUAUAUUUCAUCUCCAAGGAAAUUUUUAUUUCUUUCAUUGUGGUUCAUACAGGACAGUUUCAUCAAUCAGUUAAUAUCUUAUCUGAUUCAUAUAAGAAUUUAUUGAGCUGACAACAAGCAAAACCUGUGUUUAUAAAAUGACCGGGUCAUAUUCCAAUGACAGUCAAGAAAUCAGAUAUCAAAGUAUUAAAAAAAAAAAAAAACAGGACCUGCUUGAACAGAUGCACUUACAGUGUAGUUCAAAAAAAUAUGCACUUUGGAAUACUUUUCAAUAGAAUUGCUAAAAUAAGAACAUAGACAAUAAUUAACAACUGAUAAAUGCUAAAAUAAGAACAUAGACAAUAAUUACGAAAGAGUUUUGUAUCAUUUUUCUACUCAUAUUUAUCUAUAUAACUAGGAACAUUAUCUUUAUCUAUAAAAUUGAUAUAUAUGCAUAAUAAAGAAAUAAUUAAUAGUCUACUCUCAUAGUUUCCAAAAUAUCAGAAUAUCCAUGAAAGUGCAAUUUUAAUGUACACAAUAUUAACCUGCUGAUAAGAAAGCGGGCGUGUAUCACUGCUCCACUCAAAAGAAAUAGUCAGGAAUAAUAAGGUGUAAAUCUUGCACCUGAGAUGAACAUUGAACAAGAAAAACAAAGAUCCGAAUGACUGGGAUUUCUUCAAUCCCAACCCAGCCACGUGCAUGUCCACACACAUAAGAUCAUCUCAAAAUACAAGGAGAAGGAAAAUUUGGAAAAGACAGAACAGGGGAAGCGACGAUGCAGGGACUCACC
RNAcentral lists this long non-coding RNA (3423 nucleotides) under Arachis ipaensis. Its description in RNAcentral is "long non-coding RNA (AIPA_LNC000450)". Lineage: Eukaryota; Viridiplantae; Streptophyta; Magnoliopsida; Fabales; Fabaceae. The record is from RNAcentral.